AAUCCCAGCACUCAGGAGGCAUA
RNAcentral lists this non-coding RNA (23 nucleotides) under Cricetulus griseus (Chinese hamster). Lineage: Eukaryota; Metazoa; Chordata; Mammalia; Rodentia; Cricetidae. The record is from RNAcentral.